GCACUCACCUAUCCACUAAACAGCAACUUCAAUGUUGAAAGAUUUUAUUAGUUUUUAAUACUAAUAAAAUCUUUCAACAUUGAAGUUGCUGUUUAGUGGAUAGGUGAGUGC
This is a non-coding RNA of Pelobates cultripes (western spadefoot toad), 111 nucleotides long. The record is from the annotation of a GenBank genome assembly. Lineage: Eukaryota; Metazoa; Chordata; Amphibia; Anura; Pelobatidae.